RNAcentral lists this ribosomal RNA (253 nucleotides) under uncultured bacterium. RNAcentral's name for it is "partial 16S ribosomal RNA". It matches the Rfam family "Bacterial small subunit ribosomal RNA", at positions 524 to 776 of the family's 1533-position model. The record is from RNAcentral.
UACGUAGGCAGCAAGCGUUGUUCGGAGUUACUGGGCGUAAAGAGUGCGUAGGCGGUCCUGUAAGUUUGGUGUGAAAUCUCCCGGCUCAACUGGGGAGGGUCACGCGAUACUGAUCGACUCGAAGGCAGGAGAGGGUAGUGGAAUUCCCGGUGUAGUGGUGAAAUGCGUAGAUAUCGGGAGGAACACCAGUGGCGAAGGCGACUACCUGGCCUGUUCUUGACGCUGAGGCGCGAAAGCUAGGGGAGCAAACGGG